RNAcentral lists this ribosomal RNA (529 nucleotides) under uncultured bacterium. RNAcentral describes it as "bacterial SSU rRNA". It matches the Rfam family "Bacterial small subunit ribosomal RNA", at positions 8 to 526 of the family's 1533-position model. The record is from RNAcentral.
AGAGUUUGAUCAUGGCUCAGAGUGAACGCUGGCGGUAGGCCUAACACAUGCAAGUCGAACGGCAGCACAGGAGAGCUUGCUCUCUGGGUGGCGAGUGGCGGACGGGUGAGGAAUACAUCGGAAUCUACUUUUUCGUGGGGGAUAACGUAGGGAAACUUACGCUAAUACCGCAUACGACCUACGGGUGAAAGCAGGGGAUCUUCGGACCUUGCGCGAUUGAAUGAGCCGAUGUCGGAUUAGCUAGUUGGCGGGGUAAAGGCCCACCAAGGCGACGAUCCGUAGCUGGUCUGAGAGGAUGAUCAGCCACACUGGAACUGAGACACGGUCCAGACUCCUACGGGAGGCAGCAGUGGGGAAUAUUGGACAAUGGGCGCAAGCCUGAUCCAGCCAUACCGCGUGGGUGAAGAAGGCCUUCGGGUUGUAAAGCCCUUUUGUUGGGAAAGAAAUCCAGCUGGCUAAUACCCGGUUGGGAUGACGGUACCCAAAGAAUAAGCACCGGCUAACUUCGUGCCAGCCGCCGCGGUAAUAC